This 723-nucleotide ribosomal RNA is filed under the name metagenome. Its description in RNAcentral is "bacterial SSU rRNA". It matches the Rfam family "Bacterial small subunit ribosomal RNA", at positions 763 to 1493 of the family's 1533-position model. The record is from RNAcentral.
GGGUAGCGAAAAGGAUUAGAUACCCUUGUAGUCCUGGCAGUAAACGGUGCACGCUUGGUGUGGGAGGGUUCGACCCCUUCCGUGCCGGAGCUAACGCGUUAAGCGUGCCGCCUGGGGAGUACGGUCGCAAGAUUAAAACUCAAAGAAAUUGACGGGGACCCGCACAAGCGGUGGAGCAUGUGGCUUAAUUCGAUGCAACGCGAAGAACCUUACCUGGGCUUGACAUGUUAGUCGUAGAUUUGUGAAAGCUUAUCGUCACUUCGGGUGGACUAUCACAGGUGCUGCAUGGCUGUCGUCAGCUCGUGUCGUGAGAUGUCAGGUUAAGUCCUAUAACGAGCGCAACCCCUAUGAACUGUUGCCAGCGGAUAAUGCCGGGGACUCUGUUCAGACUGCCCAGAUUAACUGGGAGGAAGGAGGGGAUGACGUCAAGUCAGUAUGGCCCUUACGCCCAGGGCUGCACACGUGCUACAAUGUCCAGUACAAUGUGAACCGAGACCGCGAGGUGGAGGAAAUCUUGAAAACUGGGCUCAGUUCGGAUUGUAGGCUGCAACUCGCCUACAUGAAGUUGGAAUCGCUAGUAAUGGUGCAUCAGCUACGGCACCGUGAAUACGUUCCCGGGUCUUGUACACACCGCCCGUCACAUCAUGGAAGCCGCUCGCACCCGAAGUAUCUUCAUUAAGGAGGUCCUAAGGUGUAGGUGGUAACUGGGAUGAAGUCGUAACA